This 427-nucleotide ribosomal RNA is filed under the name uncultured ciliate. RNAcentral describes it as "bacterial SSU rRNA". It matches the Rfam family "Eukaryotic small subunit ribosomal RNA", at positions 21 to 452 of the family's 1831-position model. The record is from RNAcentral. Lineage: Eukaryota; Ciliophora.
UAGUCAUAUGCUUGUUUCAAAGAUUAAGCCAUCCAGGUUUAAGUAUGAAUGUUAUCCAGUGAAACUGCGAAUGGUUCAUUAAAACAGUUAUAGUUUAUUUGAUAAUCAAAUUUCCAGGGAUAACCGUGGUAAUUCUAGAGUUAAUCCAUGCUGGUUACCCGGACUUUGAGGAAGGGCUGUAUUUAUUAGAUAACAAAUCAAUAUUCCUCGUGUUUAUUGUGACGACUCAUAAUAACUGAUCGAAUCGCAUGGACUUUGUCCGCGAUCCAUCAUUCAAGUUUCUGCCCCAUCAGCUUUGGAUGGUAGUGUAUUGGCCUACCAUGGCUUUAACGGGUAACGGAGGAGUUGGGUUCGAUUCCGGGGAGGGAGCNUGAGAAACGCCUACCACAUNNAAGGAAGCCAGCAGGCGAGUAAAUCACCCAAUCCU